Molecule: ribosomal RNA, 433 nt
Filed under: uncultured bacterium
Lineage: Bacteria
Description: partial 16S ribosomal RNA
Rfam family: Bacterial small subunit ribosomal RNA
Source: RNAcentral
AACGAACGCUGGCGGCAGGCCUAACACAUGCAAGUCGAGCGAGGACUUCGGUUCUAGCGGCGGACGGGUGGGUAACGCGUGGUAAUGUGCCCUUCUCUACGGAACCGCCCUGGGAAACUGGGCUUAAUACCGUUUACGCCCUUUCCGGGAAAGAUUUUUCGGAGAAGGAUCAGCCCGCGUUAGAUUAGGUAGUUGGUGGUGUAAUGGCCUACCAACCGGAAGAUCCAGAGCUGGUUGGAGAGGAGGAUCAGCCACAAUGGGAAUGAGACACGGCCCAGACUCCUACGGGAAGCAGGAGUGGGGAAUAUUAGACAAUGGGGGCAAACCUGAUCAAGCCAUGCCGGGGGAGUGAUGAAGGGGUUAGGGUUGUAAAGCUCUUUCAGCUGGGAAGAUAAUGACGGUACCAGCAGAAGAAGCCCCGGCUAACUCCGUG